RNAcentral lists this ribosomal RNA (375 nucleotides) under uncultured organism. RNAcentral's name for it is "partial 16S ribosomal RNA". It matches the Rfam family "Bacterial small subunit ribosomal RNA", at positions 527 to 896 of the family's 1533-position model. The record is from RNAcentral.
GGGGGGAGCGAGCGUCGUUCGGAAUCACUGGGCGUAAAGGGCGCGUAGGCGGCCGGGAUAAGUCGUGUGUGAAAGACCGGGGGCUCAACUCCGUGUAUUGCAUGCGAUACUGCCCCGGCUAGAGUAAGGUAGAGGCGAGUGGAAUUCCCGGUGUAGCGGUGGAAUGCGUAGAUAUCGGGAAGAACACCUGUGGCGAAGGCGGCUCGCUGGGCCUUUUCUGACGCUGAAGCGCGAAAGCGUGGGGAGCAAACAGGAUUAGAUACCCUGGUAGUCCACGCCGUAAACGAUGGGCACUAGGCGUUGGGAGGAUUGACCCUCUCAGUGCCGUAGCUAACGCGUUAAGUGCCCCGCCUGGGGAGUACGGCCGCAAGGCUG